UAAGUAAAUUAAACAAAACUUUCAACAACGGAUCUCUUGGUUCUGGCAUCGAUGAAGAACGCAGCGAAAUGCGAUAAGUAAUGUGAAUUGCAGAAUUCAGUGAAUCAUCGAAUCUUUGAACGCACAUUGCGCCCUUUGGUAUUCCGAAGGGCAUGCCUGUUCGAGCGUCAUUUCACCACUCA
RNAcentral lists this ribosomal RNA (182 nucleotides) under Septoria anaxaea. RNAcentral's name for it is "5.8S ribosomal RNA". The stretch from base 17 to 170 matches the Rfam family "5.8S ribosomal RNA". From Rfam's summary of the family: 5.8S ribosomal RNA (5.8S rRNA) is a component of the large subunit of the eukaryotic ribosome. The record is from RNAcentral. Lineage: Eukaryota; Fungi; Ascomycota; Dothideomycetes; Mycosphaerellales; Mycosphaerellaceae.